RNAcentral lists this ribosomal RNA (435 nucleotides) under uncultured bacterium. Its description in RNAcentral is "bacterial SSU rRNA". It matches the Rfam family "Bacterial small subunit ribosomal RNA", at positions 345 to 796 of the family's 1533-position model. The record is from RNAcentral.
UGUGCAGCAGUCGGGAAUAUUGGUUAAUGUGCGAAAGCGCGAACCAGCAACGCCGCGUGCACGAUGAAGGCCUUCGGGUUGUAAAGUGCUUUUUGAGGGGAUGAGGAAGGACAGUACCCUCAGAAUAAGUCUCGGCUAACUACGUGCCAGCAGCCGCGGUAACACGUAGGAGACGAGCGUUAUCCGGAUUUACUGGGCGUAAAGCGCGUGCAGGCGGUUCAGCAAGUUGGAUGUGAAAGCUCCCGGCUUAACUGGGAGAGGUCGUUCAAAACUACUGGACUUGAGAGUGGUAGAGGGAGGUGGAAUUCCGGGUGUAGUGGUGAAAUGCGUAGAUAUCCGGAGGAACACCAGUGGCGAAAGCGGCCUCCUGGACCAUUUCUGACGCUCAGACGCGAAAGCUAGGGUAGCGAACGGGAUUAGAUACCCUGGUAGUCC